This 507-nucleotide ribosomal RNA is filed under the name uncultured bacterium. RNAcentral's name for it is "bacterial SSU rRNA". It matches the Rfam family "Bacterial small subunit ribosomal RNA", at positions 18 to 518 of the family's 1533-position model. The record is from RNAcentral.
CCUGGCUUAGGAUGAACGCUAGCUACAGGCUUAACACAUGCAAGUCGAGGGGCAGCAUUGGGAUAGCUUGCUAUUCAGAUGGCGACCGGCGCACGGGUGAGUAACGCGCAUCCAACCUUCCUGCCAGUAGGGAACAGCCCGGCGAAAGUCGGAUUAAUGCCCUAUGUUCUUCAAUGCGGACAUCUAAGUUGAAGGAAAGAUUCAUCGCUGGCAGAUGGGGAUGCGUCCGAUUAGCUUGCCGGCGGGUAACGGCCACCGGGGCGACGAUCGGUAGGGUUCUGAGAGGAAGGUCCCCCACACUGGUACUGAGACACGGACCAGACUCCUACGGGAGGCAGCAGUGAGGAAUAUUGGUCAAUGGGCGUAAGCCUGAACCAGCCAAGUAGCGUGCAGGACGACGGCCCUACGGGUUGUAAACUGCUUUUAUGCGGGGAUAAAGUGCGGCACGUGUGCCGCUUUGCAGGUACCGCAUGAAUAAGGACCGGCUAAUUCCGUGCCAGCCGCGGC